This 73-nucleotide transfer RNA is filed under the name Cordylochernes scorpioides. RNAcentral's name for it is "tRNA-Thr". The stretch from base 6 to 65 matches the Rfam family "tRNA", at positions 7 to 64 of the family's 71-position model. Rfam says of the family: Transfer RNA (tRNA) molecules are approximately 80 nucleotides in length. Their secondary structure includes four short double-helical elements and three loops (D, anti-codon, and T loops). The record is from RNAcentral. Lineage: Eukaryota; Metazoa; Arthropoda; Arachnida; Pseudoscorpiones; Chernetidae.
GCCUAGUGGCCUAGUGGUCAUGGCAUCUGCCCGGUAAGCGGAAGGUCGUGGGUUCGAUUCCCAUCCCUAGACA